Molecule: transfer RNA, 72 nt
Filed under: Loxodonta africana (African savanna elephant)
Lineage: Eukaryota; Metazoa; Chordata; Mammalia; Proboscidea; Elephantidae
Rfam family: tRNA
About the family: Transfer RNA (tRNA) molecules are approximately 80 nucleotides in length. Their secondary structure includes four short double-helical elements and three loops (D, anti-codon, and T loops).
Source: Rfam by way of RNAcentral
GCAGUGGUAGUUUCAGGGGUAGAAUUCUUGCCUUCCAUGCAGGAGACCUGGGUUUGCUUCCUGGCCAGUGCA